GAUGAACGCUGGCGGCGUGCCUAAUACAUGCAAGUCGAGCGAACAGACGAGUAGCUUGCUCCUCUGACGUUAGCGGCGGACGGGUGAGUAACACGUGGAUAACCUACCUAUAAGACUUGGAUAACUUCGGGAAACCGGAGCUAAUACCGGAUAAUAUAUUGAACCGCAUGGUUCAAUAGUGAAAGACGGUUUUGCUGUCACUUAUAGAUGGAUCCGCGCCGCAUUAGCUAGUUGGUAAGGUAACGGCUUACCAAGGCAACGAUGCGUAGCCGACCUGAGAGGGUGAUCGGCCACACUGGAACUGAGACACGGUCCAGACUCCUACGGGAGGCAGCAGUAGGGAAUCUUCCGCAAUGGGCGAAAGCCUGACGGAGCAACGCCGCGUGAGGGAUGAAGGUCUUCGGAUCGUAAAAAUCUGUUAUUAGUGAAGAACAAAUGUGUAAGUAACUAUGCACGUCUUGACGGUACCUAAUCAGAAAGCCACGGCUAACUACGUG
Molecule: ribosomal RNA, 497 nt
Filed under: uncultured bacterium
Lineage: Bacteria
Description: partial 16S ribosomal RNA
Rfam family: Bacterial small subunit ribosomal RNA
Source: RNAcentral